This is a long non-coding RNA of Lolium rigidum, 310 nucleotides long. RefSeq lists it as uncharacterized. The transcript has 3 exons. Lineage: Eukaryota; Viridiplantae; Streptophyta; Magnoliopsida; Poales; Poaceae. The record is from RefSeq and is a predicted model, not a curated record.
UUCUCUUUUGAAAUGGCACGCAUCGACAUAGGAUGGAAGGUAGAAAAGAAGAAUGCAAUACUUUUUUCUACCCUCUUGUAUCAACCGACACAGGAGUGGGAAUGUUGAUUAACUUUAGCACGACAUCUUUUGCACUGAUGCACAACAAAAAGACAACAAUUCCUUAUAGCUUCAAGGUGAUCACUAGCUUGCCACCGCAUGAAGGACCUAACCUGAGCUUUCACGCGCUUGAUGAACAAUUUGACCUGUUAGAUAAAGUUUUGAAUACAUGGGAUAACAUGGUUGGUGUUGAGCACUUGGAAGAGGAUUC